This 253-nucleotide ribosomal RNA is filed under the name uncultured bacterium. Its description in RNAcentral is "partial 16S ribosomal RNA". It matches the Rfam family "Bacterial small subunit ribosomal RNA", at positions 524 to 776 of the family's 1533-position model. The record is from RNAcentral.
UACGGAGGGUGCAAACGUUGCUCGGAAUCAUUGGGCGUAAAGCGCACGUAGGCGGCUCGUUAAGUCGGAUGUGAAAGCCCCGGGCUCAACUCGGGAAGUGCAUUCGAAACUGGCGAGCUUGAAUAUGGAAGAGGGUCGCGGAAUUCCCGGUGUAGAGGUGAAAUUCGUAGAUAUCGGGAGGAACACCAGUGGCGAAGGCGGCGAUCUGGGUAGAUACUGACGCUGAGGUGCGAAAGCGUGGGGAGCAAACAGG